NNNNNNNNNNNNNNNNNNNNNNNNGGGGGGCUGUCCUUGCGUCCCCCCACGGGGGUAGAACCCGCGGGAGCCCCGGCCUCUCGAUCCGCGGGGACCUGGGGAGGGCGGGCCCGGUUUGCGGCUUGGGGUUUGCUCUGGGGGGGGCACCGAUGCCCCGUGCCUCAGUUUCCCCCCGCUGCGUGCAACCGCGGCUGCUUCGGCCCCUCGCCCCCCCCCCCUGCUGCCCCCCGCGCCCCCCGAGUGCUGGGGGGGGGCGGGGGGGGCUGGAUAAGGACCCCUGGGUGCUCAGGGGGUGCACUGGGAGCCUAUGGGGAUGGACUGGGCGGUGUUGGGGUGCACUGGAAAGCUGUGGAAGGGGUACUGGGAAGCAGGGGGGUGCACUGGGAACCUCUGGGGAUGAACUGGGAGGCAUUGGGGUGCACUGAGAGGCUGGAGAGUGCACUGGGAACCUGUGAGGAUAGACUGGGAACCUAUGGGGGUGGACUGGGAGACGUUGGGGUGCACUGGGAAGCUCAGGGGGGUGGACUGGGUAAGCCGGGGGGGAUGAACUGGGUGAUGUUGAGAUGCACUGGGAAGCUGGGGGGCUACACUGGGAACCUUGGGGGUUCCACUGGGCAGUUUUGGGGUGCACUGGGCAGUUUUGGAGGGUGCACUGGGAACCUUCUGGGUGCUUUGGGGUGCACUGGGCACAUACAGGGGUGCACUGGGCACAUACAGGGGUGCACUGGGAACCUCUGGGAGUGCACUGGGCAAACUGGGGGGCACUGGGUGGUUUUGGAGUGCACGGAGCAGCACUGGGGCACGUUGGUUAGCUUCGAGGCGCACUGGGAACCUCGGGGUGCACUGGGUGGCAUUGGGGUGCACUGGAAUGGACUGGGCACUUUUGGGGUGUACUGGGAACACAUUGGAGUGCACUGGGGGGCUUUGAGGUGCGCCGGAUGCUUUUGGAGGGUGCUUGGAUCAGUUUUAGGGUGCGCUGUGCAGCCCGGAGGACAUGCUGGGAACGCUUGGGGUGCACUGGGCAAACUGGGGGAUGCAUUGGGAGCCUUUGUGGGUGCACUGGGUAAACUGGAAGCUGCACUGGGCAAACUGGGGGCCUCACUGAGAACCUUUGUGGGUGCACCGGGCAAACUGAGAACUGCACUGGGGACCUUUGUGGGUGCACUGGGCAAACUGGGAGCCAUGCACUGGGAACCUUUGGGGUUGCACUGUGCAAACUGGGAGCUGCACUGGGAACCCUCAGAGUGCACUGGGCAAACUGGGAGCUGCACUGGGGACCUUUGGGGCUGCACUGGGCCAACUGGGAGCGGCACCGUGCAACCCGGACCCUC
Molecule: long non-coding RNA, 1331 nt
Filed under: Anser brachyrhynchus (Pink-footed goose)
Lineage: Eukaryota; Metazoa; Chordata; Aves; Anseriformes; Anatidae
Description: lncRNA (ENSABRG00000020508.1)
Source: RNAcentral